This 139-nucleotide small nuclear RNA is filed under the name Saimiri boliviensis boliviensis (Bolivian squirrel monkey). Its description in RNAcentral is "U4 spliceosomal RNA (ENSSBOG00000000513.1)". It matches the Rfam family "U4 spliceosomal RNA". Rfam says of the family: U4 small nuclear RNA (U4 snRNA) is a component of the major U2-dependent spliceosome. The structure of U4 snRNA from yeast and human has been reported. Lineage: Eukaryota; Metazoa; Chordata; Mammalia; Primates; Cebidae. The record is from Rfam by way of RNAcentral.
AGCUUUGCCAGUGGCAGUAUCGUAGCCAAUGAAGUUUAUCCGAGGUGUGAUUAUUGCUAAUUGAAAACUUUUCCCAAUACCCUGCCGUGACGACUUCAGUAUAGUCGACAUUGGCAAUUUUUGACAAUCUCUGUGGAGA